This 549-nucleotide ribosomal RNA is filed under the name Triticum aestivum (bread wheat). Its description in RNAcentral is "partial small subunit ribosomal RNA". The record is from RNAcentral. Lineage: Eukaryota; Viridiplantae; Streptophyta; Magnoliopsida; Poales; Poaceae.
AUGCUUCAAGAUGCAAUGAUAAUAAAUCAACUGUGGACCCUGCCAUUGUCAAAGAACUACAAAAAAAUGCUUGAUGAGAACAACGUCCUCGCAAAAUCUUUCAGAAUGGCAAGAGAUAGAUUCAAAGAAGAAGACUACCAUGAUUACACACUUAGAAUACUUGGGAAAAGGAACGGAACACACAACCUUCCAUCUGCAUCGGAAGUUGCAGCAUUGGUUGUAAGAGACCUAACUGGAGAGAGCGAAGGACGAGAUAUCGUUGUCGAGUACAAAAAUAUGGUGCCUCACAGAAUAUCGGAAACCCAUCCAAAAUUAAUGUCGAUGCAAUACCCAUUGUUGUUUCCAUACGGAGAAGACGGCUUCAAGCUUGAAAUACCUUACAACCGAACAAAAGAAGAUGACAAAAGCAGGAAAUAUGUAACUAUGCUGGACUACUACGCAUACUACCUACAGCAAAGACCCGACCAAGGAAUGUCGCUGCUAACGUCUAGACAUCUGUCUCUGCAAUUUUGGGUAGAUGUUUACACAUGCAUUGAGCAAACAGACUAA